Engraulis encrasicolus (European anchovy) is the source of this 652-nucleotide long non-coding RNA. RefSeq lists it as uncharacterized. The transcript is spliced from 4 exons. Lineage: Eukaryota; Metazoa; Chordata; Actinopteri; Clupeiformes; Engraulidae. The record is from RefSeq and is a predicted model, not a curated record.
ACGGUAGUCUCCCCUCCCUCCCAAACAACCCAGAUAUUUUUUUCGGGCUGACCCUUUAUUUAAGAAAGCUAUUAAAAUAGUUUAAAUGACCAAUGAGCAUGGCUAUUUGGGUUGAUUGGCAGUUGCCAUUCUUUAGAAUUAUUGUUUUGAUUGACAGGCAGGCCGUUGUCAAGGAGAAGGGCGAGUCUCGCGGCGUCUCCAGGGGAAGCCCCCUCUCUCCCUGCUGCAUUACUUUCAACCAGCUCUGCUUUCAACAGCUUCAUCACUGCGAUGGAUUAUUUAAUUUUGGUACACUUUCCCCACAAAUAUGCUUUGUUGUACUUUUGGAUGUACUUCUCCGUAUUCUGUAAGGACCUCUGCGGUUUUGGCAAUACAACAAACCACACUUCACCUGGAAAACACAGCCAGGACUCACUGUCAGAUGUCUGAAAAUGUACAGUACACGCCAGCAGGUCUCACCAUAGUCAACAUCAUUAAGGAUUUGGCUCUCUGACCUGAGAAGAGGCCCCAUAAACACACCUGACAAGGACCAGCCACUGUUGCCAGUGCACAACUGAGGACCUGACCAGCCUGCUGCCAUCUAUGAUACUAUAUAGUACCCGCGGAGGUGUCUGAAGACGUGGAGUACACUGCAGCAGGUAUCACAUGAACA